Molecule: transfer RNA, 62 nt
Filed under: Cryolaternula elliptica
Lineage: Eukaryota; Metazoa; Mollusca; Bivalvia; Laternulidae
Description: tRNA-Met
Source: RNAcentral
UGGAAAAUGAUCUAAGUAAGAUAGUGGGCUCAUGCCCCAAAAAUGGUGCCAACCUUUUCCAG